CAGUCGCCGCGGUAAAACAGAGGGUGCAAGCGUUAAUCGGAAUUACUGGGCGUAAAGCGCGCGUAGGUGGUUUGUUAAGUUGAAUGUGAAAUCCCCGGGCUCAACCUGGGAACUGCAUCCAAAACUGGCAAGCUAGAGUAGGGCAGAGGGUGGUGGAAUUUCCUGUGUAGCGGUGAAAUGCGUAGAUAUAGGAAGGAACACCAGUGGCGAAGGCGACCACCUGGGCUCAUACUGACACUGAGGUGCGAAAGCGUGGGGAGCAAACAGGAUUAGAUACCCCUGUAGUCCCUGUCUCUUAUAA
This 301-nucleotide ribosomal RNA is filed under the name uncultured bacterium. RNAcentral's name for it is "partial 16S ribosomal RNA". It matches the Rfam family "Bacterial small subunit ribosomal RNA", at positions 509 to 809 of the family's 1533-position model. The record is from RNAcentral.